Molecule: ribosomal RNA, 301 nt
Filed under: uncultured bacterium
Lineage: Bacteria
Description: partial 16S ribosomal RNA
Rfam family: Bacterial small subunit ribosomal RNA
Source: RNAcentral
CAGUAGCCACGGUAACACGAACCGUGCGAACGUUAUUCGGAAUUACUGGGCUUAAAGCGCGUGUAGGCGGGCCGGCACGUCCGACGCAGAAAUCCCCCGGCUCAACCGGGGAAGUGGCGGGGAUACGACCGGCCUCGAGGGGGGUAGGGGGACCUGGAACUUCCGGUGGAGCGGUGAAAUGCGUUGAGAUCGGAAGGAACGCCCGUGGCGAAAGCGAGGUCCUGGACCCUUUCUGACGCUGAGACGCGAAAGCCAGGGGAGCGAACGGGAUUAGAUACCCCCGUAGUCCCUGUCUCUUAUU